GGUAUUAGAAAACUUUCUGCGACCGUCUCCCGUUUUUCCGGAUAGAGGAUGCCGAGCUACUUUAAAGCCAUUUGUCGCAAGAACCGCAAUGUGGAGCUACGCGGAACUUUCAAAGCAGAUGGAGGAACGACGUGAAUUCAUGGAGAUUUGCCUGCUGGGAUCUUAGUGUGUGCCUUACCGCCGGAACCGGGGGGGAGAAUCCCCCCCACCCUCGGAGCCGCAGCGAUAUUUAAACAACGCAGACUCAGGGCACUGAGCACAGGGAAUGACAUCCAAGGCACAACACGAGCAGUGCACAGAUAGUGACUUAUCUUCCCGAGGAGAAUGAACGAGAUGUCAGUUUGGAACUAUUCCUGGAAUUACACCAGCAUGAGGUCUCCUCUACCAAUCUAAGGCAAUACUACUGAAAUGCAAGAAGUCCAAAGUGAUCUAUGUCCAGCUGACCAUGCACCGACAGUGUCAAGCCUGGCAAACGUUCUAUAUGCCUGCACUCAAAAGGAGAAGGAGAAUGGGUACCCCCUGGGACAUUGCUUCACAAGGCAUUGCAGACACACAUUUCUCUCUGAGGAGUAUUUAUUCAGCGGAACAGAAGCUUCUCUAGCAGGUGGACAUGUUUACUAAUAAUGCUAGACCAGAAUUCUGCUCCCAUGAAGCACCUUCUUGAGGUCACUGUGAAGAAUAGCUAGGUAGUUUUUAUCCACCAACACAGCAUAACAGCAAAUACAGCAGCACUGAAAUCCUGCUUUCCUUGAACAUGGAGCGCACCAGAGAAGGUUUCAGUUGCAAUCAUUUUGCAUCAGGAUGAGUCUGAUCUAAAACGAGGGCGGAAGCAGCCCUACUGGGAUUUGUUCACAUGAGUAAGUCAAGUAGGAUUUGCCAAGCGAUAUGCAUGAAAACUAAUUUGCUUACUGGAAUAUUCUUUUGAAGUGUUUUCUUUAAAUGAUUGCAGCUCAAAAGCAGCAGAAAAUUUAUCCAGGUCUGAGGUAUGUCUGCCUCAUUCUGCUUUCUUAAUGUUGCAUCAAUUAUGUAUGCCCUUGUCACUUUGGAUAACAGCCUGGAUAGAUACUAAUUGAAGAUAUUAAUGAUUAUGUAAUGACUUUCACUAAUUAUUUUUCUCUUUCAAGUAUUUUAAAAAAUUGAUUUUGUUGACAAUAGUAUGCUAUGAUGAAUGGUUGUUAAAAUGUCUCUGGUGCAAAAUGAAAUACAUUUCUGCAAUAAUUUCAAUUAUACCAAGUCAGGACAAUUUUAAUAAUAUUAUGGGUAGAUUACACUUUUUUUUUUUUUUUGCCUUUUUGGGAGUGGGAAUAUCUUUCAUAUUUACUAUUAUUCAUUAAAAACCUCCGUAAAUGCAAUCAAAUUAUUGUAAAAAAAACCACAUUUAAAGAUCCUGAAACAUACUGUAAAUGACACCAAUCCUUCGUGUUCAGAAACUUCAGAAGUUUGUCUUGAUUUCAAUGUGAGCUCUGUAAAUCAUUUGCUGAAAUAUAUAAAUAUAUAUAUAUAUAUUUGUUUAAGAAAAAAGCUUGAACAAAGAUUUUUUUUCAACUUUAUCACAUAUUUCAUCUAGCUAUCAAAAACUCAUUAACACAAAUUCAAUGAACGUCUUAGUACUCGGGAGAAUUAUGGUUUCUUAACAUCUGUUAAAGACACAUGUUGCUGCAUUUUCUAAAAACUGUCUUGGUUUCAUUCUUGUUGCCAAUCUGAAGUGCAUCACAGUGCAUAUAUACAGUGCCCAUUA
Tympanuchus pallidicinctus (lesser prairie-chicken) is the source of this 1738-nucleotide long non-coding RNA. RefSeq lists it as uncharacterized. Lineage: Eukaryota; Metazoa; Chordata; Aves; Galliformes; Phasianidae. The transcript has 3 exons. The record is from RefSeq and is a predicted model, not a curated record.